This 72-nucleotide transfer RNA is filed under the name Camelus bactrianus (Bactrian camel). It matches the Rfam family "tRNA". Rfam says of the family: Transfer RNA (tRNA) molecules are approximately 80 nucleotides in length. The record is from Rfam by way of RNAcentral. RNAcentral also lists the same sequence under 2 other names. Lineage: Eukaryota; Metazoa; Chordata; Mammalia; Artiodactyla; Camelidae.
AAGGGUAUAGCUCAGUGGUAGAGCACAUGCUUAUCACGCACAAGGUCCUAGGUUCAAUCCCCAGUACCUCCA